This 459-nucleotide ribosomal RNA is filed under the name uncultured bacterium. Its description in RNAcentral is "partial 16S ribosomal RNA". It matches the Rfam family "Bacterial small subunit ribosomal RNA", at positions 338 to 795 of the family's 1533-position model. The record is from RNAcentral.
CCUACGGGAUGCAGCAGUGAGGAAUAUUGGUCAAUGGGCGAGAGCCUGAACCAGCCAAGUCGCGUGAGGGAAGACGGUCCUAUGGAUUGUAAACCUCUUUUGCCGGGGAGCAAAACGCGGUACGUGUACCGCAUCGAGAGUACCCGGCGAACAAGCAUCGGCUAACUCCGUGCCAGCAGCCGCGGUAAUACGGAGGAUGCGAGCGUUAUCCGGAUUUAUUGGGUUUAAAGGGUGCGCAGGCGGAGAGUUAAGUCAGCGGUAAAAUUUCGGGGCUCAACCCCGACGCGCCGUUGAAACUGGCGUGCUAGAGUGGGCGAGAAGUAUGCGGAAUGCGUGGUGGAGCGGUGAAAUGCAUAGAUAUCACGCAGAACUCCGAUUGCGAAGGCAGCAUACCGGCGCCCAACUGACGCUCAGGCACGAAAGCGUGGGUAUCGAACAGGAUUAGAUACCCUUGUAGUC